Molecule: long non-coding RNA, 784 nt
Filed under: Struthio camelus australis
Lineage: Eukaryota; Metazoa; Chordata; Aves; Struthioniformes; Struthionidae
Description: lncRNA (ENSSCUG00000017090.1)
Source: RNAcentral
AAUUUCAUUUAAAAGAAUCUUUUGGCAUGUGCUGUCCCUUUUUUUUGUCCCUCCCUGCAGAUGAAUGCCCUGCUUUCAUGUUUCAUUUUUAAUGUUUUGCUGAGGAGCAAAAAGGGAAUAGAUACACCAAUAAUGAGGUGGGAUGCGACUCGACCAAGAUUAUGAAGCACCAGGUGUUCUCCUAUCAGUCCAUAUCUAGAAUGAAUAUACUGGGACGCAACACCUUUAAGCGCCUUUGAUGGAUAGCUCCUCAAUGCUGUGCUGCCUGGCUGACCUCCAACAAGGUUCUGCUCCACUCAUCAGAAGUCGUGAUGAAACUUGGUCAUUUUAACCGCUGCUGUCCUACAUCACCUCUGUCUUGUGUAUGCUUAAACGUAGAAAAGUCCUAAAGCAUUGGACCCAGCAGUGUUGGGAUUCUGUAUCCACCAUUGUCUCUGAAAUGCAGUGUGCAAACCAUUUUGUGGCAUCAAGAGUGUGUGGGCAAGAAAGCAGAGACUUAGCUUCUCCAGUUGAAACUCAAGGCAGGAUUUAUGCUUUCAUCCAGGAACCUAAAAACAGUCCUAUUCAUGUAUUCAGUGUUUGCACAGAGCACGGCUUUGACACGAAGACUGAGAUGCUGCUUCUCUCUGUGAAGACCGGAAAUCGACACGUCUGCUGAAAAAUGCUGAACCACAUUCACAUACAGAGGAAACAAGUAUUAAAGGUAGGCUAAAAGCAAUCAGUGCCAUUCAGAGAUAAGUGCAUAGUAUUAAUUUUAGCUUUUGAAUUAUCUUCAUCCAGAAGA